Molecule: unclassified non-coding RNA, 253 nt
Filed under: uncultured Cytophagaceae bacterium
Lineage: Bacteria; Pseudomonadati; Bacteroidota; Cytophagia; Cytophagales; Cytophagaceae
Description: contains 16S-23S intergenic spacer region
Rfam family: Bacterial small subunit ribosomal RNA
Source: RNAcentral
UACGAAGGGUGCAAGCGUUGUCCGGAUUUAUUGGGUUUAAAGGGUGCGUAGGCGGUCUAUUAAGUCAGUGGUGAAAGGCUGCAGCUCAACUGUAGCAUUGCCAUUGAUACUGAUAGACUUGUGUACAGACGAGGUAGGCGGAAUUGAUAGUGUAGCGGUGAAAUGCAUAGAUACUAUCAAGAACACCGAUUGCGAAGGCAGCUUACUAGGCUGUAACUGACGCUGAGGCACGAAAGCGUGGGGAGCAAACAGG